AAAGCCAGCGUUUAUCCCCACUCCACCUCACUGUAAAGCCAGCGUAGAACAGCUAACGCUAUCGCCCCUAUCAUUUUCAUGGAGCGAAGAAAAGCUGGCGUAUUACCCCCACUCCACGCAAUGCAAAGUAGCAUUUAAACGCUGAGCUAACGCUACUUAACCGACAAGAAGAAGAACUGUGUAUAAUAAAAAUGGAGUACUCCAAUUAUUAUGAACAGUACAUCGCGUACGUUGAAUAUUAUAGACGUACAGUGGCAGCUGCAGUUGCAGCAGAGGUUGUAAGGAGACGACGCAUAGCCGCUACAGCUGCAGCUAUAUAUUUAAUGAAAAAGAAAAGAAGAUACGCGAAGAAAAGGUUUUAGGUAGCACCCAUUUUUGAAAAUCGUGAUGUACAUAGUUUUUUCUUUGCGUCGGUCCCGAAGUUAAUAUUGAAGAACAUACGUUUCCACAAUUAAUUAUUUUCGGAUGACCGCAACUCAGUUGGAAGAAUUGUUGGGCAUGGUUGGACCAAGAUUGCAAAAGCAGGACGUCAUUCGACAAAGUAUCUCACCAGCUGAACGGUUGGCAUUAACAUUGAGAUAUCUUGCUUCCGGGGACUCCAUGAUAUCGAUGUCCUACCAAUAUCUCGUGGGAGUGACAACAGCGGGUAAUAUCAACCAUGAAACCUGCAAAGCAAUAUGAGAUGUUUUAUGCCCUUUAGUUCUUUCGGGUCGACUGGAAGAAGGAGACUGGGUGGAUAUCGCCAAUGAUUUUAACGAAAGAUGGAAUUUCGUUCAUUGCAUUGGAGCCAUUGAUGGCAAGCACGUCACCAUUCAAUGUCCCAAAAAUGCUGGAUCAGCGUUUUAUAAUUAUAAACACAGUCACAGCAUAGUUCUCAUGGCUAUCUGCGAUGCAAAUUAUAUAAUACGUUUUGUGGAUAUCGGGGCAUACGGACGACGAAGUGAUGGUGGCGUCUUCAAAGAAAGUGCUAUGGGGAAAGCAUUCGAAUAAGGUAGAAUGAAUAUUCCACAACCAGCAGCGCUUGGAGAAGGAGGACCAAUUUUACCAUAAUACUGUCUUGUGGGAGAUGAAGCCUUUCCUUUGAAACCAUACUUGCUUCGUCCGUAUCCAGGUAGAGGACUGACACCAGAGCAAGAAAUGUACAAUUACCGUCUGAGUCGUGCGAGACGAAUAAUAGAAAACGUAUUUGGUAUACUCGCCAGUCAAUGGAGAGUAUACAGAAAACCAAUUAUCGCCAGUCCUGAUAACGCAAAGUUAAUGGUUCAAGCAACUGUUUGUUUGCAUAAUUGGCUUCGCCGGCAGGACAUUGAUGAGAACGCAUAUGUGCCUCCGGGUUUGAUCGAUGAUCCGCGCACUGUCCAAAUGGCUUCAGACCAGGGUCUUGGCGUGUCAUCAUGGAAGAUGGAUGCGCAUUCAGAGACAUCUCAAACUGUGGAUCGAACAUGAGUGCCCGACAAUGCAUAGAAAUUCGAAAUGAAUUUUGUCGUUAUUUUAAUAACGAAGGAGCAGUGCCGUGGCAAUAUGAAAGAUGUAUGUAAAUAAAUGUGUCUGUGCCUUUUUUAUUUGAAAUAGGAAAUACAUUAAUAAUUACUCAUAAUGUAUAUUUCCUGGUAAUAGAUAUUCAGUUUUCAAAUAGAUGGAACCCAAUCCGGGUUGUUUCAUAUCCGUUUGUUGCGACCAAAAAGUUAUAUAUAUAUACCUAUGUGUGUGUGUGUAGUAUGUUCUUAAAAAUUAAUAAAGCAUCUAGAAAUGCAUUUUUUUUAAGCUAAAAAGCAGAACGAUUAUUUUACCU
Temnothorax curvispinosus is the source of this 1792-nucleotide long non-coding RNA. RefSeq lists it as uncharacterized. Lineage: Eukaryota; Metazoa; Arthropoda; Insecta; Hymenoptera; Formicidae. The record is from RefSeq and is a predicted model, not a curated record. The transcript has 3 exons.